GUGGUGGUGGGGAUGGAACCCAGUGCCUCACGUGUGCUAGUAUGGACAGAAGUAUCUCAAGGACACAAAAGCACUGGAUACCUUGAACUGACAGUGAAUACUGAAACACGAGCACAGUGCUAUGCAGACCACCAUUGUCCCAGUGCACGAAACAGCAACCAAUUCACAUGAUACCACCCAAGAAGCUCAGAUGGCAGGGAUAGUGUUUCUGGGAUCAUAGGAAGUGAACACUGGCGUUGUGAUCACCUUAAUUUGACUGGUGAAGUAACUGAAGCCCAGAAGAAGUAAAUGACUGAUAAGAGGCAGAGGCCACUAAGUGGCAAAGAUAGGCCUUAAACUCACAGGUCUGCAUUGUGUUCAGGACUUAUGACAAUAGCUCAUAUCAAAGUCGACAAAGCUGAAGACUGAACUAUUUGUUCCAACCCACGGGGAGCACCUGGCAGUGUCGGACUUUGGGGCCAGCUUCUGCAACUCUUUUGCUAACCCCCCUUCCAAUUUACCACACAGAUCACUGUCCACGGUUCCCUAAGGACCAGAGGGGAAAAACGGCCUCAUACCAAAAAGGCAAAGCUCCAGAGCAAGGCUCAUGCUCGCUGAGAAGUCUGCUUUUUAAAUGCUCAUCAGAAGCCAGGAUGACAAACUCAAGAGAUCGGAUACAAAAGCGGUUGAGCGUGUAAGAAGGUGGCCUCUUGCUGAUGGACCGGAUGAGAGCAGCCAGAGGUACAUUCAUGCAGGCUCCAGCUCGAUGGGCUUAACCCAUCCAACCAGCCCACCUGACUUCCCAGGAGUUGACAAAUAGGUGAUUCUGCUGGGGGACUGAGAAAGAACUCAGCCGAGGACAGCAACAUCAGAGCCUGCCUUCAUCACAACACGAGGACCUUAAGAGCCGAGGGGGUAAAUGUCGCCGGGAUUAUCAUGGGGUGACUAAUUUACUUUGACAGACUUUCCUGUAUUUUCUAUCCUUUUUUAAGAAUAAACAUAGGCCACACUUAUA
Molecule: long non-coding RNA, 994 nt
Organism: Marmota flaviventris (yellow-bellied marmot)
Lineage: Eukaryota; Metazoa; Chordata; Mammalia; Rodentia; Sciuridae
Source: RefSeq, a predicted model, not a curated record